Molecule: transfer RNA, 70 nt
Filed under: Sciurus anomalus (Caucasian squirrel)
Lineage: Eukaryota; Metazoa; Chordata; Mammalia; Rodentia; Sciuridae
Description: tRNA-Gly
Source: RNAcentral
ACUUCUCUAGUAUUAGCCAGUACAGUUGACUUCCAAUCAACUAGCCCUAGAACAAACCUAGGGAGAAGUA